Molecule: long non-coding RNA, 1394 nt
Filed under: Zonotrichia albicollis (white-throated sparrow)
Lineage: Eukaryota; Metazoa; Chordata; Aves; Passeriformes; Passerellidae
Description: lncRNA (ENSZALG00000000770.1)
Source: RNAcentral
GUAUAACAAAAUUCUUUCUCUGCUGAAAGGAUAAAGGCAGAGUUGUUUUCAGGCUCUGCUCGUCUGGCACCACCAGUCUGAGAGCCUGGCCAGCCUUCUGCCAAUGACCCCAAGACUUGAAGGAGCUCAAAGAGAAGGACCCAAAAGGAGAACAGAAAUCUGCUAUUCUUGACAUCUCUGUCAGCAAGCAGCAGGGGCACAUGGCUGUUUCUCACCAGGAUGUGGAGGAGAAGGCAAAUAGUUUGGGCAUGAUAAAACGAUGAGAUCGCAAAGCUGCUCAGCAGCUCCUGAGGAGAGCCAUGUGGCUGAUGAAAGACCUUAUCCUUUCCAGAUUUUGCCUCAGAGCAUUCACAGGAAUAAGAAUGUUUCAUCCCUCCCCCAAGAAAUGAUGCUGGUUGCCUGAAGAGCCCACUGGUUAUGAAUUCCAAGUUUGGCAGAGGUCAGAAGUUGUCUCUGAAUAUCCUCUUUCCACCAUUGAAGGAGGAAAGAGAAGCGAUAGAGGCUUUGGAGGGUGCCUGACAUCCAGACAGGUCAAAUCCACCACUGUACAUGAAGUUACUGACCUCAAGAUGUGCCUCUGGAGCUUUGUAAAGCAGAAGCAGAAACAUUGCUGGGGAUGAUGCCCUAAAUUCCAGAGUUCAGCACCGCUGCUGUGAGCAAAUAAAACCUGUGGUAAAUUCACUGCAAAAAUGUUUCUAAACUCCUGGCAAGCCUUAUGGCAAAAAAGGAUUUUUAACACUGAAAUGCAGAGCUUAAGGAAACAGCUGUUGUCUCUGAAGACAGAGGCUGACAAAUGGAUUGGUGAGACACAGAGUUAUCUUCCAUUUGGCUUCAAGGGUUUUCAGUGGGAGACACUUGACCAUUUACUCUCUAUUCCCUACACAUAAAAGGAGUACCAGAAAUGCUCAGAGCAGAGAACUGGAAUUUCUGGGACAGCAGGACAUGAACUGGACCAUGCUUGGUGCUUCCAGGCCAGAAGCAUCGAUAAACACCAGUGUGCCCUAAUCCUCGGGCUGUGGUCCCAGGCAGGAGAAGCAGAACAGGCUGCGCAGCGCCCGCAGCGCCUGUGGUGUCCCGGCCUGUGUCACCUGCUCCUGGAAGGCACGAGAGGCCUUGUGUCCUUUGGGGGCUUCCACCUGGGAACAUGCGGCACGGAGAGUUCCUCCAAGGCACGGCCCAGAUGCCCUGAGCUCAACCCAAGCCUCACGAGGGACAUGCAUGUAGAACCCAGCUCCCGCCAGACCUGCUGCUCUUUGCUCUCCGUCUUUGUCUUCGCGCAGCUCCAGGAUGCUGAUCUCAUCCCACUCGUCAUCUUCUUGCAGCAAGGGCUUGGCCCCGAUGCUCGGCUCCCAGCUGUCCUGCAUGAGGUCUCGGACACUGUCACUAGCCCAGCU